GUCGCCUCCUAAAAGGUAACGGAGGCGCUCAAAGGUUCCCUCAGAAUGGUUGGAAAUCAUUCAUAGAGUGUAAAGGCAUAAGGGAGCUUGACUGCGAGACCUACAAGUCGAGCAGGGUCGAAAGACGGACUUAGUGAUCCGGUGGUUCCGCAUGGAAGGGCCAUCGCUCAACGGAUAAAAGCUACCCCGGGGAUAACAGGCUUAUCUCCCCCAAGAGUUCACAUCGACGGGGAGGUUUGGCACCUCGAUGUCGGCUCAUCGCAUCCUGGGGCUGUAGUCGGUCCCAAGGGUUGGGCUGUUCGCCCAUUAAAGCGGUACGCGAGCUGGGUUCAGAACGUCGUGAGACAGUUCGGUCCCUAUCCGUCGUGGGCGUAGGAAAUUUGAGAGGAGCUGUCCUUAGUACGAGAGGACCGGGAUGGACAUACCUCUGGUGUACCAGUUGUCGUGCCAACGGCAUAGCUGGGUAGCUAUGUGUGGACGGGAUAAGUGCUGAAAGCAUCUAAGCAUGAAGCCCCCCUCAAGAUGAGAUUUCCC
This 534-nucleotide ribosomal RNA is filed under the name Staphylococcus aureus. RNAcentral's name for it is "partial 23S ribosomal RNA". It matches the Rfam family "Bacterial large subunit ribosomal RNA", at positions 2282 to 2815 of the family's 2925-position model. Lineage: Bacteria; Bacillati; Bacillota; Bacilli; Caryophanales; Staphylococcaceae. The record is from RNAcentral.